GCAUAUUUGUAAUGUAAAGAAAAAAAAACACGACCACACAAUUAGCACGAGCUCGCCUCCUCCCUCUCUCGCCCACGAAGCCCUCGCCGCCGCCACCACCCACGCCGGCCGCUUCCGGCGAGCUCCACCGCCGCGCAGCACGCCAUCGAGUUCCCCAUGGUCCACGUAACCCUCCCCUAUCUCCAUAUUCUUCGCUCCCGGCCUCUGCCGCCCGCUCGCAACCCCCCCCCCCCCCCCCCCCCCCCCCCCCCCCGCGGCUAGGGUUUCGGGCAGGCCUUCGCCGGCGCGUCUCCGGCGGCCCCAGACUGCCGUGAUUGUAUGAGAGAUUAAUACGAUUGUCCCAUGUGUGCUAGCUUUAAACGGACGGGUAAUGCUUGGUGUAUUCUUGUGUGUCAAUCGGAACAAACAUGGAGGGAGGAUAGGCUCCAAUUCAUUCUGGCUCCAUUAACUGAGUCGACCGCUCUGAAAAGGUGAUGCUCUGUAGUAAGUUUAUUUAUGCUUGUGUGUGUUUUUAUUGAUGUGUUUGCACUGUCUGUUUAUUGCAUAUUCAGUUGUUCGAAAAAGGGGUGCCAUUUGUGCCAGGUUAAUCAACCAGCGAAAGUAACACUUGAUCACAGGGUAAUAAAGUUAGUAGGAGUAUGUAAAGUUAUGUAGCUUCGUACGCAGAUCUCAGUAUUUAGUUGUUGGUCAGUUACGUAGAUGCUCUCCAAUGACCUUUUGAAUUCAACAUGUCAUCAGUCAAUUAUACAAGGAGGACACGGAACAAAUCAGAAAGAAAGUAGCAAGUUGUUAAAUCUGAUUUGCUGCUUUCAAUUUUUGGAGCACUGUAGCUUGUGAAAUCAUCAUAUGUGUUCUAUCUUGUGCGCCUCUUGUGGUCUUACCAAUGGAGUUGGCUUUAGCUCUUGAAAAGAUGGUGAAUGAGAAGCUGCCCAACCUGCCCACUAUAAGUUUCUCCUUCAUGCCUGUUUACAAGAAAAUUACUUUAAAGGUAGCAACAAGGUGAAAAGAUCCUCAGCUGGGCAUCUUUAUUGAGAAUCAAUUUCUUUAGGAGCAGGGUUACUCAUGCAGUUUCAGAAGGAGAUUGUGGAUCAUGAGUUAACAUACCAGAUGGAAGAGCGAUGGGCCAACAUAUGGAAGUGCAGAUCGAAAAACCUGGGUUUGCAGGAUGCAACAAUUGGUGUUGCGAGCAAAGCCAAAACCAUCACUCACAAGAAAUAUGAGAUCCUCAAGCAAGACUUGCUUGAUGCACAGAUUGUAAUUGCUUGGCAUCAACUAUUCGCAACUACUAACUCACCAUCAAAAUCAAAACUUGACAAGGUUUUGAACUAACUGAAGGCUGCUUGGAUGCUGAGAAACUAAAAGAGUUUAAACUUGUGCAGAAGAGAUAAAUCAGUCUUAAUGUGGCCAAGUUCAAAUUUGCUCUCCCGACACCUACUUCUGUGUUGGGCCUUCCAAUUGGCCAACAUAUAAGCUGCAGGUUUCAACACUUACUCGUCAUGUCUUGAUCUACAUUUCAGUUGAGUGGUCAUUGUUUUUGGUUCAAGAAGCGAGUGAAAUAUUCUUAUAAUUCUAUCGAUGUAUGUAUUGUGUAAACUGGCUGCACCGUUGCAGAGUCAAGGAUGCUACUCGGCCUUUUAGAAAAAACUGACGUGUAGAGUCUCCUUGGUUUAGGCUCUGAUGAUAGGUUUGGAUUUGCUUCUUAUUCUGAUGUAUAGAUAUCGACUGGAAAAAUAAAGAUCACAUGGUAAUGUGCAAAUCAGAGGUUUGCGCCACUGAGGAGCGUGUCCACGUCACGAGUGUCGCCAUUCAUGGGAAGCACCAAGAUCUAACACUCUGAAUGUUGUUAGCUCGCUCCUUCACAAAUGAGUCUCUUAAGCUAUCGCUUAUCUCGCUUUGUUAGACAAACUCUUUAUGCGACAGGGAAGGCUUCUGGAAUGAUACAAUUGUUGUUCUAUUUCUGUCAACCCACUCUGCUUAAUCAUAUUGAUUAUUAUUAUUUUCCCGUUGCAAUGCACGGGCAUGUGGCAAGUAUAAACAUAGAUUUUUGUCCAA
This is a non-coding RNA of Aegilops tauschii subsp. strangulata, 2052 nucleotides long. The record is from RefSeq and is a predicted model, not a curated record. NCBI's taxonomy places the organism in Eukaryota, Viridiplantae, Streptophyta, Magnoliopsida, Poales, Poaceae.